GUUAACAAUCGAUUAUAUAUCAGUCUUGUAAAAUCAAUUUAGACACUGCCUCUUGACAAUCGACUGUUAUAGGUUCACAAUCGAUUAUUUAAUAACUUUGAAAAAGUCUGGAAGACACUGCCUCAACACAAUUGAUUGUCACAAGUUCACAAUCGAUUAUUUUGUGACUUUGAAAAAUCUGAUGGACACUGUCUCUUCACAAUCGAUUGUCAUUAGCUUUACAAUCNNN
Molecule: long non-coding RNA, 229 nt
Filed under: Nicotiana benthamiana
Lineage: Eukaryota; Viridiplantae; Streptophyta; Magnoliopsida; Solanales; Solanaceae
Description: long non-coding RNA (NBEN_LNC026735)
Source: RNAcentral